GGCAAGGUGCCCGAGUGGUCUAAGGGGUUCGACUCGAAAUCGAAUAUGUUCGCAUGCGCAGGUUCAAAUCCUGCCCUUGUCG
Non-coding RNA from Aspergillus nanangensis, 82 nucleotides. NCBI's taxonomy places the organism in Eukaryota, Fungi, Ascomycota, Eurotiomycetes, Eurotiales, Aspergillaceae. The record is from the annotation of a GenBank genome assembly.